AAUGCAUAAAAUUAUGCAGAUGCGGGUCAAGAGCGUCAGAUAACGUCCGGAACAAUCCUAGAAACAUCCCGCAAUCAGCUGUAAAUGCCUUGUUGAUGAGCGAGAUCGGACCCGAAUGAUACAGUCGCCAACAAAAACCGCUCUUUACAUGAGUGUUUCCGUGACAUUUCGCUCAAGGACUCAACCAUGGUAGCUUGGCAUGGUGGAAUUUGCUUCCAAUCAAUAAACUAAAGCCUUGAACACUAAGCCACAGCUUCUCAUGGCUUGGUUGUUCUGGGAUACUCUCUGUGAAUAAACGCA
Long non-coding RNA from Silurus meridionalis, 300 nucleotides. RefSeq lists it as uncharacterized. Lineage: Eukaryota; Metazoa; Chordata; Actinopteri; Siluriformes; Siluridae. The record is from RefSeq and is a predicted model, not a curated record. The transcript is spliced from 2 exons.